GAUGAAGAACGUAGCGAAAUGCGAUAAGUAAUGUGAAUUGCAGAAUUCAGUGAAUCAUCGAAUCUUUGAACGCAUCUUGCGCUCCUUGGUAUUCUGAGGAGCAUGCCUGUUUGAGUGUCAUUAAAUUCUCAACUACACUGACUUUGAAUUGGUGUGGCUUGGAUUUGGGGGGAAAAUUGUUGUGGGCUUUUUGUAUAGUCUGCUCCCCUGAAAAUGAUUAGCGGUACCUUUGUGGAACUGUCUACAGGUGUGAUAAUUAUCUACAUCUUAGACAUCUGCUGGAAUGCUGCUUUCUAAACCUUACUUGUAUUGACAAUCUUGACCUCAAAUCAGGUAGGACUACCCGCUGAACUUAAGCAUAUCAAUAAGCGGAGGA
Molecule: unclassified non-coding RNA, 376 nt
Filed under: soil metagenome
Description: partial contains 5.8S ribosomal RNA, internal transcribed spacer 2, and large subunit ribosomal RNA
Rfam family: 5.8S ribosomal RNA (bases 1-120)
Source: RNAcentral